AUGGUUCAAGGGGCUAGGCUCACCUGGUGUUGUGGUUUGGAGGUGCAGCAGCCUGUGAUCCCUCCACUGUCAAGAGUAGGAAGUGUUCGCUGCUCUGUGAAACCAGCCUCACGCUAUACCCUCCUGUCUAAGAGACACAAGACCAGUGCCUUCGCACAAGUCCCAUGGGUCAACUCGCAACUUGGAGCGGGCAGGCCAGCAUGGUGCAACAACCAGACCAACCAGUUAAGCCUUAGCCAUGUUCCAUCUCCUUGA
This is a non-coding RNA of Vicia faba (fava bean), 255 nucleotides long. Lineage: Eukaryota; Viridiplantae; Streptophyta; Magnoliopsida; Fabales; Fabaceae. The record is from the annotation of a GenBank genome assembly.